RNAcentral lists this ribosomal RNA (505 nucleotides) under uncultured Lactococcus sp. RNAcentral describes it as "partial 16S ribosomal RNA". Lineage: Bacteria; Bacillati; Bacillota; Bacilli; Lactobacillales; Streptococcaceae. The record is from RNAcentral.
CACGUAGUUAGCCGUCCCUUUCUGGGUAGUUACCGUCACUUGAUGAGCUUUCCACUCUCACCAACGUUCUUCUCUACCAACAGAGUUUUACGAUCCGAAAACCUUCUUCACUCACGCGGCGCUGCUCGGUCAGACUUUCGUCCAUUGCCGAAGAUUCCCUACUGCUGCCUCCCGUAGGAGUUUGGGCCGUGUCUCAGUCCCAAUGUGGCCGAUCACCCUCUCAGGUCGGCUAUGUAUCAUCGCCUUGGUGAGCCUUUACCUCACCAACUAGCUAAUACAACGCGGGAUCAUCUUUGAGUGAUGCAAUUGCAUCUUUCAAACUUAAACUGUGUUUAAAGUUUUAUGCGGUAUUAGCAUUCGUUUCCAAAUGUUCGUCCCCCGCUCAAAGGCAGAUUCCCCACGCGUUACUCACCGUUCGCUGCUCAUCCAGUUGGACAAGUACCAACUUCAGCGCUCAACUUGCAUGUAUAGGCACGCCGCCAGCGUCGUCCGUCGUAGCGAGACG